UACGAAGGGGGCUAGCGUUGCUCGGAAUCACUGGGCGUAAAGGGCGCGUAGGCGGCUGUUCAAGUCGGGGGUGAAAGCCUGUGGCUCAACCACAGAAUGGCCUUCGAUACUGGACGGCUCGAGACCGGAAGAGGUCAGUGGAACUGCGAGUGUAGAGGUGAAAUUCGUAGAUAUUCGCAAGAACACCAGUGGCGAAGGCGGCUGACUGGUCCGGUUCUGACGCUGAGGCGCGAAAGCGUGGGGAGCAAACAGG
This 253-nucleotide ribosomal RNA is filed under the name uncultured bacterium. Its description in RNAcentral is "partial 16S ribosomal RNA". It matches the Rfam family "Bacterial small subunit ribosomal RNA", at positions 524 to 776 of the family's 1533-position model. The record is from RNAcentral. RNAcentral also lists the same sequence under 1 other name.